AGCAGCCGCGGUAAUUCCAGCUCCAAUAGCGUAUAUUAAAGUUGUUGCAGUUAAAAAGCUCGUAGUUGAAUUUCGGGGUUAGUAGAUUGGUCAUGCCUCUGGUAUGUACUGGUCUCACUGAUUCCUCCUUCCUGAUGAACCUUAAUGCCAUUAAUUUGGUGUUUUGGGGAAUUUGGACUGUUACUUUGAAAAAAUUAGAGUGUUUAAAGCAAGCUAACGCUUGAAUACAUUAGCAUGGAAUAAUGAAAUAGGACGUUCGAUCCUAUUUUGUUGGUUUCUAGGAUUGACGUAUUGAUUAAUAGGGAUAGUUGGGGGCAUUAGUAUUCAAUUGUCAGAGGUGAAAUUCUUGGGUUUAUUGAAGACUAACUACUGCGAAAGCAUUUGCCAAGGAUGUUUUCAUUAAUCAAGAACGAAAGUUAGGGGAUCGAAGACGAUCAGAUACCGUCGUAGUCUUAACCAUAAACUAUGCCGACUAGGGAUCGGAUGAUGUUAAUUUUUUAAUGACUCA
Molecule: ribosomal RNA, 508 nt
Filed under: uncultured glomeraceous AM fungus
Lineage: Eukaryota; Fungi; Glomeromycota; Glomeromycetes; Glomerales; Glomeraceae
Description: SSU rRNA
Rfam family: Eukaryotic small subunit ribosomal RNA
Source: RNAcentral